This 396-nucleotide ribosomal RNA is filed under the name uncultured Chloroflexota bacterium. RNAcentral describes it as "bacterial SSU rRNA". It matches the Rfam family "Bacterial small subunit ribosomal RNA", at positions 757 to 1165 of the family's 1533-position model. The record is from RNAcentral. Lineage: Bacteria; Bacillati; Chloroflexota.
AAGCUAGGGUAGCAAACGGGAUUAGAGACCCCGGUAGUCCUAGCCCUAAACGAUGUAGACUUGGCGUCGGUGGUUUAAUCGCCAUCGGUGUCGUAGCUAACGCGNUAAGUCUACCGCCUGGGGACUACGGCCGCAAGGUUAAAACUCAAAGGAAUUGACGGGUCCCCGCACAAGCAGCGGAGCGUGUGGUUUAAUUCGAUGCUACACGAAGAACCUUACCUGGGUUUGACAUAGAGGUAGUAGGGAAGCGAAAGCGGACCGACCCUUCGGGGAGCCUCUACAGGUGUUGCAUGGCUGUCGUCAGCUCGUGUCGUGAGAUGUUCGGUUAAGUCCGCUAACGAGCGCAACCCUCGCUGUGUGUUACAAGUGUCACACGGUACUGCCGAUAUUAAGUCA